AGGUCCAGCCUGCCCAGUGACCACUUAAACGGCCGCGGUAUCCUAACCGUGCAAAGGUAGCAUAAUCAUUUGUUCUCUAAAUAAGGACUCGUAUCAACGGCAUCACGAGGGUUGUACUGUCUCCCCCCUCUAAUCAGUGAAACUGACCUCCCCGUGAAGAGGCGGGGAUUUUUAUACAAGACGAGAAGACCCCAUGGAGCUUUAAACCCAAUAUAUCUAUUGGUUUUAGGUUGGGGUGACCACGGAGUAAAACAUAACCUCCUCCUAAUCCAAGAGCUACUGCUCUAAGAAUCAAAAAUUUGACGUAAUAUGAUCCCAACGAACCAAGUUACCCUGGGGAUAACAGCGCAAUCCAUUUCAAGAGCUCUUAUCGACAAAUGGGUUUACGACCUCGAUGUUGGAUCAGGGUAUCCCAGUGGUGCAGCCACUACUAAAGGUUUGUUUGUUCACA
Molecule: ribosomal RNA, 451 nt
Filed under: Limnonectes blythii (giant mountain frog)
Lineage: Eukaryota; Metazoa; Chordata; Amphibia; Anura; Dicroglossidae
Description: partial 16S ribosomal RNA
Rfam family: Bacterial large subunit ribosomal RNA
Source: RNAcentral